UGGUGGGUAGUUUGACUGGGGCGGUCUCCUCCUAAAGAGUAACGGAGGAGCACGAAGGUUGGCUAAUCCUGGUCGGACAUCAGGAGGUUAGUGCAAUGGCAUAAGCCAGCUUGACUGCGAGCGUGACGGCGCGAGCAGGUGCGAAAGCAGGUCAUAGUGAUCCGGUGGUUCUGAAUGGAAGGGCCAUCGCUCAACGGAUAAAAGGUACUCCGGGGAUAACAGGCUGAUACCGCCCAAGAGUUCAUAUCGACGGCGGUGUUUGGCACCUCGAUGUCGGCUCAUCACAUCCUGGGGCUGAAGUAGGUCCCAAGGGUAUGGCUGUUCGCCAUUUAAAGUGGUACGCGAGCUGGGUUUAGAACGUCGUGAGACAGUUCGGUCCCUAUCUGCCGUGGGCGCUGGAGAACUGAGGGGGGCUGCUCCUAGUACGAGAGGACCGGAGUGGACGCAUCACUGGUGUUCGGGUUGUCAUGCCAAUGGCACUGCCCGGUAGCUAAAUGCGGAAGAGAUAAGUGCUGAAAGCAUCUAAGCACGAAACUUGCCCCGAGAUGAGUUCUCCCUGAGACUUAGAGUCUCCUGAAGGAACGUUGAAGACGACGACGUUGAUAGGCCGGGUGUGUAAGCGCAGCGAUGCGUUGAGCUAACCGGUACUAAUGAACCGU
This 659-nucleotide ribosomal RNA is filed under the name Salmonella enterica subsp. enterica serovar Infantis. Its description in RNAcentral is "partial 23S ribosomal RNA". It matches the Rfam family "Bacterial large subunit ribosomal RNA", at positions 2259 to 2912 of the family's 2925-position model. Lineage: Bacteria; Pseudomonadati; Pseudomonadota; Gammaproteobacteria; Enterobacterales; Enterobacteriaceae. RNAcentral also lists the same sequence under 5 other names. The record is from RNAcentral.